Molecule: non-coding RNA, 314 nt
Organism: Bombina bombina (fire-bellied toad)
Lineage: Eukaryota; Metazoa; Chordata; Amphibia; Anura; Bombinatoridae
Product: small Cajal body-specific RNA 7
Exons: 1
Source: RefSeq, a predicted model, not a curated record
UGGAAGUGAUGCAAUUGAGAACUGGGGUUUUGAGUGAAUGUUCAUUUUUAUUGUAUGCAUGUAAAUAGUUUUUAUCAUGUUUAGUUAACGUUGGUGUGCUUGAGUGUAUGUCUAUUAAUUAUAGUUAUUUAAGGGGGCCCUUAAACUAUGUUGCAGAUUUCGGAGUGCAUCUGAGGAAUGUUGUGUUUUUUUAUAGGGCUUUAGUACAACAUUACCUGUGAUUAAAGUCCUAAAUUGGCUCCCCUUUUAUAACCCACACCCCAUUAUUUCUCUAACGGGUACAUGGUAAUCCUUGUACUUGUGGUCUGAUCCAG